AUAUUUUCCUCUCUUUCCUUCUUCUCUCUCUCUCUCUGUUUACAUAGUUGUAGUUAUACUGUAUACAUUACUUUGUACUCUACUUUAUUUCACUUAACAUGACAACAUAAGCAUUUACCCACAUCAUUAAAACUCCCUGGUACCGAGAGCCCAGGUCUAUUUUUAUAGAGAAGCUUAAGUGAUUCUCAGUGGGCUCUGCUACCCAGCCUUAAUCACACAAAGACAAGUUAUCAGGUUCUCUCCAAAGUCCUGGCCUGCCGCUUGCCUACUGAGCAGGAAGCAGAACUAAGGCUGUCAUGGAGAGGAAGGACAGGCCAAAUACUGUUUGGCUGCCUGCUCCCUCCCACGAGCCAGCCUGCAGCCUGCUAAGUAAGGGGCCCUGCUGAUCCAGAAUUCUUUCUUGCAGAAACACAUACUGGCUUUGAACCAAGGAGGCAGGCUCACUGCUGCAGCAGCCCCAGGGGAAAAAUCCAGACACAGAAUAAAAAAGUAAACUAUGCCAGUGACUGUAUGGCAGUAUAGCAGGAUUGCUCAUCUUAAUUUCCAGAAAAGCGUCAUCCUAACUCACAGGCAAGACAAAGGCUGCCCAGCAGCCUUUACCCCUACUUUCCACACGGUGAGUGCACUGGAGGUUUCAAAAAGCCUGCGGACUAAGACCAGGAGAACAGCAGACACAGCCCACUGGGAAGCCCAUGAUGUUGACCCCAGAGUGGACUUGUGGACUCGUCAACUCGGGCCAGGCUCCUGAUGGGAGAACUCAGUGCCAAGGACCAAACCUAAAGCAAGAUAUAUAAAAUUUGAACGUUGUUUUUGUAUUACUUUUUUAAUCAAGGAAUCCCAUUCUCAUGGUGCAAAAUGAGGAAAGUACAGGUAAGUUAAAAAGAAGCAAAAACAUGGCAUCCACAGUCCCACUCCUAUGGGAAAUUACUGCUAAGAAGACACUGAAAUCAGUAUUCCCAGUCAUAUCUAUUUUGAAAAGGAACAUACACUGUUUCUUUUCUUUGAAAAUACCUUUUCUUAGAUCAUACAACAGAC
RNAcentral lists this long non-coding RNA (1035 nucleotides) under Callithrix jacchus (white-tufted-ear marmoset). Its description in RNAcentral is "lncRNA (ENSCJAG00000051746.2)". The record is from RNAcentral. Lineage: Eukaryota; Metazoa; Chordata; Mammalia; Primates; Cebidae.